GCUUGUCUCAAAGAUUAAGCCAUGCAUGUCUAAGUAUAAGCAUUUAUACAGUGAAACUGCGAAUGGCUCAUUAAAUCAGUUAUCGUUUAUUUGAUAGUACCUACUAGAUGGAUAACCUCGGUAAAUCUGACGCUAAUACAUGCAUAAAAUCCCAACCUCUGGAAGGGAUGUAUUUAUUAGAUAAAAAAUCAAUGCCUUCGGGCUCUUUGAUGAUUCAUAAUAACUUGUCGAACCGCAUGGCUUUAGCUGGCGGUGGUUCAUUCAAAUUUCUGCCCUAUCAACUUUCGAUGGUAGGAUAGUGGCCUACCAUGGUUUCAACGGGUAACGGGGAAUAAGGGUUCGAUUCCGGAGAGGCAGCCUGAGAAACGGCUACCACAUCCAAGGAAGGCAGCAGG
Molecule: ribosomal RNA, 395 nt
Filed under: Hyphopichia burtonii
Lineage: Eukaryota; Fungi; Ascomycota; Pichiomycetes; Serinales; Debaryomycetaceae
Description: partial small subunit ribosomal RNA
Rfam family: Eukaryotic small subunit ribosomal RNA
Source: RNAcentral